GACGAACGCUGGCGGCAUGCUUAACACAUGCAAGUCGAACGGAAAGGCCCUGCUUUUGUGGGGUGCUCGAGUGGCGAACGGGUGAGUAACACGUGAGUAACCUGCCCUUGACUUUGGGAUAACUUCAGGAAACUGGGGCUAAUACCGGAUAGGAGCUCCUGCUGCAUGGUGGGGGUUGGAAAGUUUCGGCGGUUGGGGAUGGACUCGCGGCUUAUCAGCUUGUUGGUGGGGUAGUGGCUUACCAAGGCUUUGACGGGUAGCCGGCCUGAGAGGGUGACCGGCCACAUUGGGACUGAGAUACGGCCCAGACUCCUACGGGAGGCAGCAGUGGGGAAUAUUGCACAAUGGGCGGAAGCCUGAGGCAGCAACGCCGCGUGCGGGAUGACGGCCUUCGGGUGGUAAACCGCUUUCGCCUGUGACGAAGCGUGAGGGACGGUAAUGGGUAAAGAAGCACCGGCUAACUACGG
This 467-nucleotide ribosomal RNA is filed under the name uncultured bacterium. Its description in RNAcentral is "partial 16S ribosomal RNA". It matches the Rfam family "Bacterial small subunit ribosomal RNA", at positions 28 to 506 of the family's 1533-position model. The record is from RNAcentral.